UCUUCCACAAUGGACGAAAGUCUGAUGGAGCAACGCCGCGUGAGUGAUGAAGGGUUUCGGCCCGUAAAACUCUGUUGUUGGAGAAGAACAGGCGUGAGAGUAACUGUUCACAUCUUGACGGUAUCCAACCAGAAAGCCACGGCUAACCACGUGCCAGCAACCGCGGUAAUACGUAGGUGGCAAGCGUUGUCCGGAUUUAUUGGACGUAAAGCGAGCGCAGGCGGUUUUUUAGGUCUAAUGUGAAAGCCUUCGGCUUAACCGGAGAAGUGCAUCGGAAACCGGGAGACUUGAGUGCAGAAGAGGACAGUGGAACUCCAUGUGUAGCGGUGAAAUGCGUAGAUAUAUGGAAGAACACCAGUGGCGAAGGCGGCUGUCUGGUCUGUAACUGACGCUGAGGCUCGAAAGCAUGGGUAGCGAACAGG
This 422-nucleotide ribosomal RNA is filed under the name uncultured bacterium. Its description in RNAcentral is "bacterial SSU rRNA". It matches the Rfam family "Bacterial small subunit ribosomal RNA", at positions 362 to 776 of the family's 1533-position model. The record is from RNAcentral.